RNAcentral lists this ribosomal RNA (397 nucleotides) under uncultured bacterium. RNAcentral describes it as "partial 16S ribosomal RNA". It matches the Rfam family "Bacterial small subunit ribosomal RNA", at positions 523 to 918 of the family's 1533-position model. The record is from RNAcentral.
AAACGUAGGUCCCGAGCGUUGUUCGGAUUCACUGGGUGUAAAGGGCGCGUAGGUGGUUGUCUGUGUCUCAUGUGAAAACUCAGGGCUCAACUCUGAGAUUGCGUGGGAAACUAGGCAGCUAGAGGACGGUAGAGGGGAGUGGAAUUCCCGGUGUAGCGGUAAAAUGCGUAGAUAUCGGGAGGAACACCGGUGGCGAAGGCGGCUCGCUGGGCCGAUCCUGACGCUGAGGCGCGAAAGCGAGGGGAGCGAACCGGAUUAGAUACCCGGGUAGUCCUAGCCGUAAACGAUGGGUGCUAGGUGUUGGGGGGUAAAGACCCUUCAGUGCCGAAGCCAACGCGAUAAGCAUCCCACCUGGGGAGUACGGCCGCAAGGUUGAAACUCAAAGGAAUUGACGGGG